Molecule: ribosomal RNA, 253 nt
Filed under: uncultured bacterium
Lineage: Bacteria
Description: partial 16S ribosomal RNA
Rfam family: Bacterial small subunit ribosomal RNA
Source: RNAcentral
UACGUAGGGUGCGAGCGUUGUCCGGAAUUAUUGGGCGUAAAGAGCGUGUAGGCGGCCAGGUAGGUCAGCUGUGAAAACUCGAGGCUCAACCUCGAGACGCCGGUUGAAACCAUCUGGCUAGAGUCCGGAAGAGGAGAGUGGAAUUCCUGGUGUAGCGGUGAAAUGCGCAGAUAUCAGGAAGAACACCCGUGGCUAAGGCGGCUCUCUAGUACGGUACUGACGCUGAGACGCGAAAGCGUGGGGAGCGAACAGG